GACGAACGUUGGCGGCGUGCUUAACACAUGCAAGUCGAACGGUAAGGCCCUUCGGGGUACACGAGUGGCGAACGGGUGAGCAACACGUGGGUGAUCUGCCCUGCACUUCGGGAUAAGCCUGGGAAACUGGGUCUAAUACCGGAUAGGACCACUGCCUGCAUGGGUGGUGGUGGAAAGCUUUUGCGGUGUGGGAUGGGCCCGCGGCCUAUCAGCUUGUUGGUGGGGUGAUGGCCUACCAAGGCGACGACGGGUAGCCGGCCUGGGAGGGUGACCGGCCACACUGGGACUGAGAUACGGCCCAGACUCCUACGGGAGGCAGCAGUGGGGAAUAUUGCACAAUGGGCGCAAGCCUGAUGCAGCGACGCCGCGUGAGGGAUGACGGCCUUCGGGUUGUAAACCUCUUUCAGCACCGACGAAGCGCAAGUGACGGUAGGUGCAGAAGAAGGACCGGCUAACUACGUGCCAGCCGCCGCAGUAA
This 478-nucleotide ribosomal RNA is filed under the name uncultured bacterium. RNAcentral describes it as "partial 16S ribosomal RNA". It matches the Rfam family "Bacterial small subunit ribosomal RNA", at positions 28 to 523 of the family's 1533-position model. The record is from RNAcentral.